UACGAAGGGGGCUAGCGUUGCUCGGAAUUACUGGGCGGAAAGGGUGCGUAGGCGGGUCUUUAAGUCAGAGGUGAAAUCCUGGAGCUCAACUCCAGAACUGCCUUUGAUACUGAGGAUCUUGAGUUCGGGAGAGGUGAGUGGAACUGCGAGUGUAGAGGUGAAAUUCGUAGAUAUUCGCAAGAACACCAGUGGCGAAGGCGGCUCCCUGGCCCGAUACUGACGCUGAGGCACGAAAGCGUGGGGAGCAAACAGG
RNAcentral lists this ribosomal RNA (253 nucleotides) under uncultured bacterium. RNAcentral's name for it is "partial 16S ribosomal RNA". It matches the Rfam family "Bacterial small subunit ribosomal RNA", at positions 524 to 776 of the family's 1533-position model. The record is from RNAcentral.